This 303-nucleotide ribosomal RNA is filed under the name uncultured bacterium. RNAcentral describes it as "bacterial SSU rRNA". It matches the Rfam family "Bacterial small subunit ribosomal RNA", at positions 28 to 326 of the family's 1533-position model. The record is from RNAcentral.
GAUGAACGCUGGCGGCGUGCUUAACACAUGCAAGUCGAACGAACGGAGGAGUGCUUGCACUCCAAAGUUAGUGGCGGACGGGUGAGUAACGCGUGGGUAACCUGCCUCAUGCAGGGGGAUAACAUCUGGAAACGGAUGCUAAUACCGCAUAAACUAUGGAUGACCGCAUGGUCAUUAUAGCAAAGNUUUAUCGGCAUGAGAUGGACCCGCGUUGGAUUAGCUAGUUGGUGAGAUAACAGCCCACCAAGGCGACGAUCCAUAGCCGGCCUGAGAGGGUGAAACGGCCACAUUGGGACUGAGACA